UACAGGAUUCCCCUAGUAACUGCGAGUGAAGCGGGAAAAGCUCAAAUUUAAAAUCUGGCAGUUUAAUAGCUGUCCGAGUUGUAGUCUGGAGAAGUGCUUUCCGUGCUAGACCGUGUACAAGUCCCUUGGAACAGGGCGUCAUAGAGGGUGAGAAUCCCGUCUUUGACACGGACUACUAGUGCUUUGUGAUGCGCUCUCAAAGAGUCGAGUUGUUUGGGAAUGCAGCUCAAAAUGGGUGGUAAAUUCCAUCUAAAGCUAAAUACAGGCGAGAGACCGAUAGCGAACAAGUACCGUGAGGGAAAGAUGAAAAGCACUUUGGAAAGAGAGUUAAACAGUACGUGAAAUUGCUGAAAGGGAAACGCUUGAAGUCAGUCGCGUUGUCCGGAAAUCAGCCUUGCAUUUAUUUGCUUGGUGUAUUUUCUGGUUGACGGGCCAGCAUCGAUUUUAAUCGUUGGAUAAAGGCGAGGGAAAUGUGGCACCUUCGGGUGUGUUAUAGUCCCUUGUCACAUACAACGGUCGGGAUCGAGGAACUCAGCACGCC
This 541-nucleotide ribosomal RNA is filed under the name Fibroporia vaillantii. RNAcentral describes it as "LSU rRNA". It matches the Rfam family "Eukaryotic large subunit ribosomal RNA", at positions 68 to 604 of the family's 3401-position model. The record is from RNAcentral. Lineage: Eukaryota; Fungi; Basidiomycota; Agaricomycetes; Polyporales; Fibroporiaceae.